RNAcentral lists this long non-coding RNA (1164 nucleotides) under Sinocyclocheilus grahami. RNAcentral's name for it is "lncRNA (ENSSGRG00000024726.1)". The record is from RNAcentral. Lineage: Eukaryota; Metazoa; Chordata; Actinopteri; Cypriniformes; Cyprinidae.
AAAGUGUUCAAAGCUUGUGAAGAAUUCUGUUCUCCAAUAUAAAAUUCUUUGUGCUGAAUGUAUAGUGUAUUUAUUAUAUGAUACUCAUAUUUUUUGACUCUAAUGUAUAUGCCUAGGAAAAACUUUAAAAUCCAAACCUAAUGAGAAGUAUUCACUGGAAUAAAAAGUGUGACAAGAAACCCAGUUCUGCCCAGUAAAGAGAGAUUAACUGUUCAAACUUGAGAUAUUGAUUUUUAACCUCCUCCACACGUUUGACUUUUCCAAAACAUCAAAAAGCUAUUGAUGAGAAGCCAGUGACCUGGUUUCCAAGGCAAGGCAAAUGUAAGCAGUAGGUGGGUAUGCUGAAAACUAUUUGGUCAAAUGCAGCUCUUAUUUUCAUGAUGAAUUUACCUAUUAUGCAUCUCAUGUAAAAGCAUGGGGGCUGGACGGUUUCAUGAACGAUAGUGAGUCAGUUGGCAAACACUGUCAGAUUCAGAGUCUCAAAAUGAUGGUUUUUGUUACUCUAAAAUUCCCCGGGGUAUCAUUAACAUUUACAGCAAAAUAGUGAAUCAUUGUAAAAGCGCCUUUACUGUAAACACUGGCCAAGCUCAAUUAUAUUCCUAUUUACCAGAAAACCUUCAGAAACUGAAGAAAGAACUCAAAAUAACUGAAUAACUGUCAUGCAUUUGAUCUAACAAAUGAAAUGCAACUGUUAAUGAUUGCUGCCUAAAGGUAUAAAUCUCUAUUGUUUAUGACUUCACUUCCAUGCCUGUUUUAUUCUAAUACAGAAAGACGUAACAUGAUACACAUGUUUUUGAGCCUGUUGAUCAAGUAAUUUGAUAUUAACUUUCUCUUAUUGCCAUAUACUCUGUCAUCCGCGUGCUACCUGCUGCGUUCGUGCUCACUUGAGUGACGUAUAUCACACUUUCCACCCUCUGCCACAACAGCUUGCCAUUUGUAGCUAAAAAGGUGUUGAUGGUGGGAGCCCGUGAUGCUGCUUCCUGUCUCCAUUGCACAUCAGAAUUUCCCCUCUGCCCGCCCACUUUCAUUUUGUGCAGAGCUGUGGGCUGUUUCACUUCAGUCUGUCCGAGUCUGUUGAUAGAGUCUGUUCUGCUCAAUGUAUACUGUUGCUUUCUCCAGCCACCCACACCGUUUGACCCCCGACUGAAUGUUUUAGAGUGGUAA